This 266-nucleotide long non-coding RNA is filed under the name Nicotiana benthamiana. Its description in RNAcentral is "long non-coding RNA (NBEN_LNC012836)". Lineage: Eukaryota; Viridiplantae; Streptophyta; Magnoliopsida; Solanales; Solanaceae. The record is from RNAcentral.
GGAAAACUGAAGAAGCAUAAUAAGGCUUUUGAAUUACUCGCAGAGGAAGAUUAAUGAACCUAAAAUCGAACAAAAAAUGCAGCAGCGCCUGAACCUCGCCAGAAUCUCGAAUGGAACUGAACAACGACUUCAAAUCACUUCCAACAUCUCGGCUCCAAACAACUCUCCAAACGAGCUUCAAAAUGGAAUCUAUGAAUUUGAAACUAAAAAAAUUGAAAUAGAACCAAAGAGAAGAAGCAGAAACUUCUCUGUUUUUUGGAUUAAAA